AAGUCGUAACAAGGUUUCCGUAGGUGAACCUGCGGAAGGAUCAUUACCAAGUUUAAUCCAAAAACACUCAACCCAUGUGCACUAUGAUUUGUCUGUCUUUGGGGUGGAGGAAUCGAGGGUUCUAAUCCUCGCCGAUUUCACCCCACAUAUGUAAACAUCCUUUUUAUUUUGUAUUGGAAUCUACUUGUCUUAAUAAAUAAUUAGACAACUUUUAACGGUGGAUCUCUUGGCUCGUG
This 236-nucleotide unclassified non-coding RNA is filed under the name fungal sp. RNAcentral's name for it is "partial internal transcribed spacer region". The stretch from base 1 to 46 matches the Rfam family "Eukaryotic small subunit ribosomal RNA", at positions 1786 to 1831 of the family's 1831-position model. Lineage: Eukaryota; Fungi. The record is from RNAcentral.